Non-coding RNA from Salmo salar (Atlantic salmon), 54 nucleotides. The record is from Rfam. Lineage: Eukaryota; Metazoa; Chordata; Actinopteri; Salmoniformes; Salmonidae.
GUAUAGACUGUUUGUAAGUCGCUCUGGAUAAGAGCGUCUGCUAAAUGAUGUAAA